RNAcentral lists this long non-coding RNA (211 nucleotides) under Elaeis guineensis (African oil palm). RNAcentral's name for it is "long non-coding RNA (EGUI_LNC050336)". Lineage: Eukaryota; Viridiplantae; Streptophyta; Magnoliopsida; Arecales; Arecaceae. The record is from RNAcentral.
CAUAUACAUAUAUUUCUAAAAGAAAUUCAUUCCUUAAGUCAUACUAAAGAUCUCAUUGACCAUUUACAGGAGCCAAAAGCAAUUAACUUAUACUGUUGUAGUCAUUGUUUCUUAUAAUUACUUAUCUUUGAUAUAGGAGUUACAUAUGUAGGUGAAAACUUAAUUUAUGCCAUGCCAAGAGCCUAGUAAGUGGUAACUAGUAAGUGGUAGU